CGCGGCCUAUCAGCUUGUUGGUGAGGUAAUGGCUCACCAAGGCGACGACGGGUAGCCGGCCUGAGAGGGCGACCGGCCACACUGGGACUGAGACACGGCCCAGACUCCUACGGGAGGCAGCAGUGGGGAAUAUUGCACAAUGGGCGAAAGCCUGAUGCAGCGACGCCGCGUGAGGGAUGACGGCCUUCGGGUUGUAAACCUCUUUCAGCUCCGAAGAAGCGAAAGUGACGGUAGGAGCAGAAGAAGCACCGGCUAACUACGUGCCAGCAGCCGCGGUAAUACGUAGGGUGCAAGCGUUGUCCGGAAUUAUUGGGCGUAAAGAGCUCGUAGGCGGUUUGGUAAGUCGGGUGUGAAAACUCUGGGCUCAACCCAGAGAGGCCACCCGAUACUGCUAUGACUAGAGUACGGUAGGGGAGCGGGGAAUUCAUGGUGUAGCGGUGAAAUGCGCAGAUAUCAUGAGGAACACCAGCGGCGAAGGCGCCGCUCUGGGCCGUAACUGACGCUGAGGAGCGAAAGCAUGGGUAGCAAACAGGAUUAGAUACCCUGGUAGUCCAUGCCGUAAACGUUGGGCACUAGGUGUGGGUCUCAACCAACGAGAUCCGCGCCGUCGCUAACGCAUUAAGUGCCCCGCCUGGGGAGUACGG
RNAcentral lists this ribosomal RNA (644 nucleotides) under uncultured Actinomycetes bacterium. Its description in RNAcentral is "bacterial SSU rRNA". It matches the Rfam family "Bacterial small subunit ribosomal RNA", at positions 232 to 885 of the family's 1533-position model. Lineage: Bacteria; Bacillati; Actinomycetota; Actinomycetes. The record is from RNAcentral.